This 1959-nucleotide long non-coding RNA is filed under the name Capsella grandiflora. RNAcentral's name for it is "long non-coding RNA (CGRA_LNC001156)". The record is from RNAcentral. Lineage: Eukaryota; Viridiplantae; Streptophyta; Magnoliopsida; Brassicales; Brassicaceae.
GCAAACUACUAAAUUCCUUAGAGAAAUCGCUAGAAGUCUAGAAGGAGCUUUCGGGAAGUUCUCGAGAUCGAGCAGCCUUAGAUCUGUGAGUUUCUGGUCGUGUGAAGUAGCACACGAUUUGGAAUUUAUUUAUUUAAGUUAUUUAUUUAAAUUUUCAUGAGGUUAUGCUUUUAUACUUUGUAUAAAUUAUGCAUACUUUCUAGUUUAGCUUAUUAUACGUUAUAAACAUAUGAUUAGCACACUGAUCUGUCUAGAUCUUGCAUUUCUGUUCGAUUAUAUUAUAGUUGAGGUUAUGUUGGUCGAUUCUAUAACCGUUAUGAUGCCCGUAUAACCGUUAUGUUUCCAACAUGACCAUUAGGCUGUUCGUAUAGUUGUUAUAAUACCGUUUUAGCUGUUAGGCUACCGGCACUAUCUUGGUUUACAUAGUUUCUUCUUAUGCAUGGGUUGAUUGUUUGUUGAAUGCUUGUUUAACAUUCUUUGUGGUCUUGCUUUAGUUGAUUGUUAUAUGGUAGUAGUUGCUAGUAGGAACUUUUUGAGUACUUCAUACUCGUAGUGUUAUUAAGUUAGUAUGAAGCGAUUCUUCUGGUUAUCCCAUCGGCUCGAAGUGGAUCGCAACCAUCAAGCAAUGUCUGACGAGGCAGUACACAUUCCACGGUAAGGGAACUUGCUCCCUUACUAAUGGCUCAUGAAACAGGGAUGUGGUCCUUCUAGUCUUCGUCAUUAAGGAUCGGAGAAGCAUUGCCUAACGGGAGAUCAGAAUCGCAGGAACGCCUUAGAGAGUGAAGAUGAAGAUUAGCAUGCUAGAUUUGAUUGUUUUGUUCUAUGCGGCUGUUAUGUCGCAUUUUUUAUUGUCAUUGUUAUCUUAUAUGUGUUUGGAGGUCGGGUAGGGGAUUCCUAAUGUUUAGAGACCCCGGACUCACUGAGUAAUCUUAAAUUACUCAUGCUGGUACUUAUUUUGUUUUACAGGUAACCAGUAGAAGGGUAACUUAGAGGGAGCUAGGACGUUAAGCAAAGCCAGUGUAGGUUUCAUGUCUUUUUGUAAAAUUAUUCUGUUUGAAUAAGGCUUCGAAAGUUUUUUUUGGAGACUAGCUCCCGGCCGAAAAUCUUAGGAUGUUUUAUGUGUUAUAUUAUAUUUCUUCGAAUAUUUUAUGUAAAAUAAAGCUUGUUUUAUAUUUGGAGCUGUUCUUAAAUGAUUAUAGUCUUGUCCGGACCGUCCUAACACUUAUUCACGGUUAAGGUUGGCAAGCCCGAACCCGUUAUGUAGUGGGAUGUGCAUGCGGAACGGACGAUCGGGGUAUCGAAUUCGUUUUGAUAACCUCUGUUGACUGUCCGCGAGUAUCAUCACGUAGCAUUCUCAGCCGUCUUAUUUAUAGACUGGUUCGGGGGUGUUACAACUAGGCUACUUAAUAACACACAAUUAAGUUAUUCCCUAGAUAAUGAACUCAUAAGCUAGCCUAUCCAAUGUCUUGGGAGAGAUUAUUAAUCUUAAGUCACUUCCCAAUCUCAAAUGUUGUUUAUGAAACAUGAAAUAAGCAAGCAUUAAACAAAAGUUCAUUAUUGUCAAAAUACAUUCUAGUCAACCAAUAUCUUGGGCAUAGACACAUAAGUCCCUGGCAUUAUAGGAUCAGACAUUUUAUCGACCAUCUUUCGGGCAUGAAAGUCUCGGAUCUAAUCUCCAAAUGAUCAGUAAGGGAUUAGCAUCAUAUACACUAAUCAUGAAUGGAAUUUAAGGCAGAUCUACUCUACAUCAACCUAGAUCAUAUAGGUAGAAUUGUUUAGAUUUCAUUCUGGAUUAGUGUAUAUAACACUAAUCCCGCUCUGAUCAAGUGGUGAUUAGCUUUCAGGCUUCCACGCCCGAGAGGUUUUCGAUGGAAUGCUGGAUAAUCUAAUACCACCAAAUUUCAUGUCUAGCCCAAGAGAUUGGUUGUCUAGAAUGUUAUUUUACAUUAAUGAGUUGAC